RNAcentral lists this long non-coding RNA (512 nucleotides) under Elaeis guineensis (African oil palm). Its description in RNAcentral is "long non-coding RNA (EGUI_LNC013988)". The record is from RNAcentral. Lineage: Eukaryota; Viridiplantae; Streptophyta; Magnoliopsida; Arecales; Arecaceae.
CCCUUUAGUCAUGUCUUCAUGAGGAGAGGUAAUUUAUAGUGAUGCCCCACAACACUGCUAGCGAGAGAGAGAGAGGUUCACAUGCAUUUGUUAGCUUAAGAUUCUCUCCUCAUCCAUUUUUGUGCACCUUAUGCAACAGUACAUAAGAGUCCAUGAAACAUGGUCCCCCCUCACUAGUGCUUUUAUGUACCAUUUUAGCUUUGUUUAUACUUGGCAAUCACUCUCUCUCUCUCUCUUCUCAUUCUCUCGUGGCAUUGGCAUUGGCAUUUAGCUCGUUACGCAUGAGCAUCUUUCUUUGUUAGGGGAUGACUGCUUUUCUUUGUUAGCCUUGGUCCACUAUCCCUCGGGAGCAUGUAGCUGACCUCUGUGGGUGGUGGUGUCAGUUGUUCAUAAGUAGUUGUUUAAGACAGCAGCUUCCAUAUGGUAAGCAUUGUAAGUUCAGUCUGCAUCACCAACAACCUAAUACAAGCAACAAAGAAAAUGAUAUGCCUGAUUACAAUCUGCUUUUGGAU